CUACACUCUGAUACAUAUCGAUCGAUUCAAAAACCAGCAACUGUAUAGAACCGUCUGCAGAUUUUCUAGUAACCAUUUACAAGAAAUGCAAAAAAAUAAGCCACCAACCAAUCAGGAAUGUCUACAACUAUACUUUCAGGGGUUCCUGCAGCAAAAGGAGUAUAUAUAGUCGGAUUAUUUUGCACCAAACGGCCGCCUUCUUAGAGGCCACUCUUGAAAUUCAGUCUCUGUUAGCCCGAUGAACUAAAUUUUGUCUUUUUGUUGACAAUUUUAGCCCACUGAACUAACUGGGGCACUAUUUAAAUAGUGGCCUCAACAAUGGCCAUUUGCGCAAAUGCCCCUAUCUAGUUUACAAUGGUUCUCUCCAAAUGCGGCCACCUAUCUUUAGCUUCAGCUCCUUCCU
RNAcentral lists this long non-coding RNA (403 nucleotides) under Nicotiana benthamiana. RNAcentral describes it as "long non-coding RNA (NBEN_LNC010871)". Lineage: Eukaryota; Viridiplantae; Streptophyta; Magnoliopsida; Solanales; Solanaceae. The record is from RNAcentral.